Molecule: long non-coding RNA, 2079 nt
Filed under: Homo sapiens (human)
Lineage: Eukaryota; Metazoa; Chordata; Mammalia; Primates; Hominidae
Description: HSALNT0323839
Source: RNAcentral
CGCUCGCCCCGGGAGGGAGCCCGCGGCCAGGGCUGGACUCUCGCCCCGCCACCUCCACCGACUCUCUCCUCAGCCUCCGCGCCUGGCACCGCAGCAAGACUUGAAUGAAGUGAUCAUGUAAACUAGAGAAAGGAGAUUAAAAAUAACCUCUGGAUAUUCCUCUCAUGUGAUCUUUAUUCUGGAUGAAGCAUUAGGACAGCUAAUAGCCGUGUGUCACUUAAAAAUCCAACUUGAGAACUGUCACCAAAGAUGUCUAGGAACUUUGAAGAAACAUGAAGGUUUGUCCUCAUUCUGUCCUAAGUUGAAAUGAGAUUUAGAAAAGAGUCUAAGUGAACAUUUCCCAACCCAAUUCCUGUAGCACUCGAUGAAAUACACAGCUAUCCUAUUUCUCUCUAUUGAAAUUACAUAUACCCUAAAACAGUUUGAGAAUUUAUCACGCACCAGGCUUACCAAGUACUUUAUAGAAACCAUAUAUGCUCUUUUAUUCCUUACAAGAGCCCCAUGAGAAAGAUUCUGUUAUAUCAUUCUUUGUAAUACCUUUGAGGACAUGAGGAACAAAGAAGUUAAAUGACAUGAAAUUCCCACAACCAGCAAGUAGUAGACCUGGAAUUUGAAUUAUCAGGAAAUCUUGCUCUAAAGAAUAUAGGCUUCAUCUUUAUAUAUGUAUGUUUAUAUUAUAUUUAUUAUGCAUAAAACAUCUACAUAUACUUGCACAUAUUAAAAACUGGGGUCUUUGUUAAUGCCAGGCCAAAUCAAUGACAAAUAUUUGAUUCUUUCGCACUCUCACUUCUCAUAGUGCUGGAAGAACAGAUGCCAUGCAAAAGAGGGACUAUUUUUAUCUUUACAGAUUUGUACUAUUUUGGAAUUCCAGUGUCACCAGGUGAAUCCCAAAACGGUUUAGCCUGGGAGGACACGUGGGUUCUUGACUUCUAACAGGAAGAGAUUUAAGAGUCGGGGGACAGAGAGAAGUUCAAAGGAAGUUUAUUAAGAAAGUAAAGGAACAAAAGGGUGGCCACACCAUAGGCAGAGCAGCCUAGUUGGCUACAUUUAUGGUUAUUUCUUGAUCAUAUGCUAAACAAAGGGUGGAUUAUUCAUUAGUUUUUCUGGAAAAAGGCAAGGAAUUCCUGGAACUGAGGGAUCCUCCCUCUUUCGGACCGUAUAGGGUAACUUCCUGACAUUGCCAUGGCAUUUAUAAACUGUCCUGGUGCUGGUGAGAGUUUCCUUUAGUAUGCUAAUGUAUUAUAAUUAGCUUAUAAUGAGCAGUGAGGACAACUGGAAGUAGCUUUUGUUACCAUCCUAGUUGUGGCUGGUGUGGGCUGUCUUCUUUACUGCGUCCCGUUUUGUCAUUGGGAUCUUUGUGACCUGUACCUUGAGAAACAGCAGAGCCAGUGCCACCAAACUAUCUCACCAGUGGCAGUUGGAAAAAUCAUUCUAGAUGUUUACCAGGCCUGCUACAACUAGUUCAUGAAGAAAAGCAAUUGAUAUUUUUAAUGAGGACCCAAUGUCUCUGGGUAAUGAGAAGCAAGAAGUAGGAAGGAGCUUAGCCUAUACAUCACUCAACUCGGAACACAAACCUGAGUACCCAGUGGGUACCGAUCCCUAUACUUCCCUCACCAGCUGGGUCUGUAGUUCGGCUGCUAAAAAAUGAACUAGCCACCUUUAACAUAUACAUUUCUUCUUCCCAUUUACCCCAACUACUCAAUAAGGAAUAGGCACCCUUUGCUGAAAUUCAUCUGUAUGCCUUCUUGUAAGAUCCAUGAUACUCAGAAAAGGAGUGAUAAGGACUUAUGUUCAAAUGGAGAAUUGUUCAGAAUUGAAAUAAGAAUGUAAAGUAGCCCAGUUUUAAAGAUUUCUGGCCCCAUGGAUUGCAAGUGCCUCUCUGUGUGUGCAUAUAAAUAAAUCCAUGGCUACACUUAGCCUUUGUCAGCUUGUAAAUUUUAGGAGACAGGAGGCUUUAAUACAAAUAUUUUUUAGAUCUUCUAAACGUGAUCUUGAUGAUUUUUGGAUUGCAUGAGCCAAUUUAAUUUUCUAACUUGUUUUUUUUAUUUUAUUAUUAUUAUACUUUAAGUUUUAGGGUAC